AACUCUUAGCGGUGGAUCACUUGACUCGUGGAUCGAUGAAGAACGCAGCUAGCUGCGAUAAAUAGUGCGAAUUGCAGACGCAUUGAGCACAAAAAUUUCGAAUGCACAUUGCACCAUCGGGUUCAUUCCCAAUGGUACGUCUGGUUGAGGGU
RNAcentral lists this ribosomal RNA (152 nucleotides) under Rumenfilaria andersoni. Its description in RNAcentral is "partial 5.8S ribosomal RNA". It matches the Rfam family "5.8S ribosomal RNA". From Rfam's summary of the family: 5.8S ribosomal RNA (5.8S rRNA) is a component of the large subunit of the eukaryotic ribosome. It is transcribed by RNA polymerase I as part of the 45S precursor that also contains 18S and 28S rRNA. The record is from RNAcentral. Lineage: Eukaryota; Metazoa; Nematoda; Chromadorea; Rhabditida; Onchocercidae.